This 69-nucleotide transfer RNA is filed under the name Mesorhizobium sp. WSM3868. RNAcentral's name for it is "tRNA-Thr". The record is from RNAcentral. Lineage: Bacteria; Pseudomonadati; Pseudomonadota; Alphaproteobacteria; Hyphomicrobiales; Phyllobacteriaceae.
GCGUCGCUGCGGUGGUAGAGCACUCCCUUGGUAAGGGAGAGGUCGAAGCUUCAACUCCCUCGCGCUUCA